GCCGCCGUAGCUCAGUUGGUUAGAGCACCAGAUUGUGGAUCUGGGGGUCCCCCGUUCGAGCCGGGGCGGUGGUA
Molecule: non-coding RNA, 74 nt
Organism: Methylobacterium sp. Leaf99
Lineage: Bacteria; Pseudomonadati; Pseudomonadota; Alphaproteobacteria; Hyphomicrobiales; Methylobacteriaceae
Source: Rfam